CUACAGAGGCAGGCAGGCCUCCUUGAGCUGUGGUGGGCUCCACCCAGUUGGAGCUUCCCGGCUGCUUUGUUUACCUAAUCAAGCCUGGGCAAUGGCGGGCGCCCCUCCCCCAGCCUCGCUGCCGCCUUGCAGUUUGAUCUCAGACUGCUGUGCUAGCAAUCAGCGAGACUCCAUGGGCGUAGGACCCUCCAAGCCAGUGAGAUGAACCCGGUACCUCAGAUGGAAAUGCAGAAAUCACCCGUCUUCUGCAUCGCUCACGCUGGGAGCUGUAGACCGGAGCUGUUCCUAUUCGGCCAUCUUGGCUGCUCCCCCACUUCCUUGCUUUUUUAAGGGAUCCCUUCAGAUGAGGAGACGGAAGUCCAGAGGGUUUCAAUCGCUUGCCCAAAGUCACAGAGUCGGGAAGUGCAGAGCCAGGCCACUGCCUGGUUUUAAAUUCUGGGUGGAAAUGCAACGUGCCGGUCAACAUGGUGUGCUGGUGAGUGUGUUAUCCUCAGCGGUGCCCAGGGCACAAAUGUGCAGACCAGCUGACAGCAACAGCAGGCUCCCCUUUUCUCCAUCAGGAACUGUCAGAGGAGGCUGGAUGUGGAGGAAAGCUGGGAUUCCUUUUCUCAUUUGAAAAAUGUUGAAACAGAUGGAUAUAAAAAAAGCAAAAUGUCUUGUUCCACGUUUCCAAAAGAGGAAGUAUGAAAGGCGUAAUUGAAAUUCAAAACGUUUGGUCUGAAAAUCCUACAUCCUUUCUCCUAACAACCGUGAAUUCUUACUAAAGGAUAAGGCAUUAAAGCCUUUUUUGAACCAUCUUUCUCUUAUGGAGGAACACAGCCUAUUAAACCACACCAGCUACUAACUGCCUGCUAGGGUCUGAAAGUGUCCUCCCAGCAGUCAUGUCUCCAAGGUGAUGGCAUUAGGACGUGGGGCCUGUCGGAGGUGAUUAAGUCACUAGAGUGGAGCUCUUAUGAAUGGGAUUAGUAACAACUUUCCUAAGAAGAGGCCAGAGAGCUAGCUCUUUCCACCAGGAGAGGAUACAGGAGAAGUCAGCCAUCUGCAACCUGGAAGAGGGUCCUCACCAGAACUCAACCAUGCUGGCACUCUGAUCUCGGACUUCCAGCCUUCAGAACGAUGUUUCUGCCCUCUGGGGCCAAUUCCACCACUCCCUGGAAAGUGAUGUGAUGACCCUGGGCUUGAGUCCAAAGAACAUAGGAGAGUUUUGGCAGGUCGAUGGUGUGUUGGUGCCAACCCACUUAGAGCGAAAACUGUUUAAACCAGUUUUAAUUGGAUUUCCCUCACUUGCAACAAGGAAGACCUGAAUAAUAUUGCUUCUGUCUGUAUGUCCAAAUACUUUCAUUUUUCAAGAAGCAAUGUUAUACCAACGUCAGAACAAAGGAACACUUUAUGCUGAUCC
Molecule: long non-coding RNA, 1399 nt
Filed under: Homo sapiens (human)
Lineage: Eukaryota; Metazoa; Chordata; Mammalia; Primates; Hominidae
Description: HSALNT0050595
Source: RNAcentral